Molecule: ribosomal RNA, 146 nt
Filed under: Tremella pertusariae
Lineage: Eukaryota; Fungi; Basidiomycota; Tremellomycetes; Tremellales; Tremellaceae
Description: 5.8S ribosomal RNA
Rfam family: 5.8S ribosomal RNA
About the family: 5.8S ribosomal RNA (5.8S rRNA) is a component of the large subunit of the eukaryotic ribosome.
Source: RNAcentral
AACUUUCAACAACGGAUCUCUUGGCUCUCGCAUCGAUGAAGAACGCAGCGAAAUGCGAUAAGUAAUGUGAAUUGCAGAAUUCAGUGAAUCAUCGAAUCUUUGAACGCACCUUGCGCCUUUUGGUAUUCCGAAAGGCAUGCCUGUUU